Juglans microcarpa x Juglans regia is the source of this 737-nucleotide long non-coding RNA. RefSeq lists it as uncharacterized. The transcript has 2 exons. NCBI's taxonomy places the organism in Eukaryota, Viridiplantae, Streptophyta, Magnoliopsida, Fagales, Juglandaceae. The record is from RefSeq and is a predicted model, not a curated record.
AAAAACUAAAGGCAAUUGCUUUGUGUAAGCGCGGUGCAAACACCGGCUGAUGUGGCAAAAAAUCGAAAUGCCCCAUUUAGUGAUCCCUCCUUCCAUUUCCCUCCCUCUCUUUCUUUGCCCUCGAGCUCUUAGCUCUCUGAAGACGAAACGAAAAGAGAAAAUACAGAACCAAUGGAGUUCUUGCCUCUUUGAAGACCAUCAUGGAAGAUUUCAAGAAGAAGGUCUCUACUACAGAACCAAUGGAGGCUGAAAAUACCGUAGGUUGCUCUGAUUCUUCCAAAAUCCUCCAUCUGCUUUGUAGGUUCCUUGCAAUACAGUAGUGCAGAACUGAAGCCUACAUCAACGCUAAAAAAACUCAAAACCUGGGACCAAGUCAACUGGAAGCCAGAUCCCAAAAAAAAGUAACCAAAUACAACCUCCAAUUGACAUAUGUGCUAGAAUAUUGUCUGUUGAUGAAGAAGGAAAGUCUAUGUCACUGGCUCCUGAAAAGAGUAUUCAGUUUGCGAGAAAAGCUCCUUGUCAAGAUUUUCCAAAAUUAGCUAAGCCACCAAGGGAAGAUUUAAGAAUGGAAGCAAAAAAUACAAAUCAAGUUGGCAACUGAAAACCUAGAUGAGCAGGAAGACAAAGAUUCAGAGGAACAUGAGCUCUGUUUCAGUGUUUUUGUUUGGAGUUUUUCUUUCUCAUUUUGGUUUCGAGCAGGCGUGGUCUUUUGUCUUUUUUUUUUUUUAUAUAUAUAU